CCUACGGGAGGCAGCAGUGGGGAAUAUUGCACAAUGGGGGAAACCCUGAUGCAGCGAAGCCGCGUGAGUGAAGACGUAUCUCGGUACGUAAAGCUCUAUCUGCAGGGAAGCAAAUGACGUUACCUGCCUCAGAAGCCCCGGCUAACUACGUGCCAGCAGCCGCGGUCAUCCGUAGGGGGCACGCGUUAUCCGGCGUUACUGGGUGGAAAGGGGGCGGAGACGGCGCGGCAAGUCCGGAGGGAAAGCGCAGGGCGUAACCAUGGUACUGCUGUGGAAACUGUAGGGCUUGAGUGCGGGAGGGGCAGGCGGAAUUCCUAGUGUAGCGGUGAAAUGCGGAGAUAUUAGGCGGAACACCGGCUGCGAAGGCGGCCUGCUGGACCGUAACGGACGUUGAGGCACGAAAGCGUGGGGAGCAAACAGGAUUAGAUACCCUUGUAGUC
Molecule: ribosomal RNA, 440 nt
Filed under: uncultured bacterium
Lineage: Bacteria
Description: partial 16S ribosomal RNA
Rfam family: Bacterial small subunit ribosomal RNA
Source: RNAcentral